GAAAUGCGAUAAGUAAUGUGAAUUGCAGAAUCUCGUGAAUCAUUGAAUCUUUGAACGCACAUUGCGCCCUAUGGUAUUCCGUAGGGCAUGCCUGUCUGAGCGUCAGCUCGUCUUCUCAAGCUCUUUUGCUUGGAUAACAUUGGAACAGCAAUGCAAGCUCCAUUCGGGGUCUGUGUGCUCUCCAGAAAUCAAUAGGCGGUACGGUUCUAGCAAAAACCUGACGUAAUAAUAUUUUUAUCUAUCGUUGAUUUGUUUAAACUGUUGCUUGCCUCUUAAUCCACAUCUUUCUUCAAGAUGACCUCAGAUCAGGUAGGGAUACCCGCUGAACUUAAGCA
This 335-nucleotide unclassified non-coding RNA is filed under the name plant metagenome. RNAcentral describes it as "partial contains 5.8S ribosomal RNA, internal transcribed spacer 2, and large subunit ribosomal RNA". The stretch from base 1 to 105 matches the Rfam family "5.8S ribosomal RNA", at positions 50 to 154 of the family's 154-position model. The record is from RNAcentral.